This 297-nucleotide ribosomal RNA is filed under the name bacterium enrichment culture clone ALO1_GLFRUDD03F2ZTO. RNAcentral describes it as "partial 16S ribosomal RNA". It matches the Rfam family "Bacterial small subunit ribosomal RNA", at positions 9 to 306 of the family's 1533-position model. The record is from RNAcentral.
GAGUUUGAUCGUGGCUCAGAUUGAACGCUGGCGGCAUGCCUUACACAUGCAAGUCGAACGGCAGCACGGGAGCUUGCUCCUGGUGGCGAGUGGCGAACGGGUGAGUAAUGCAUCGGAACGUAUCCUGGGGUGGGGGAUAACGUAGCGAAAGUUACGCUAAUACCGCAUAUUCUGUGAGCAGGAAAGCGGGGGACCUUCGGGCCUCGCGCUCUUGGAGCGGCCGAUGUCGGAUUAGCUAGUUGGUGAGGUAAAGGCUCACCAAGGCGACGAUCCGUAGCAGGUCUGAGAGGAUGAUCC